This 324-nucleotide ribosomal RNA is filed under the name uncultured Biomaibacter sp. RNAcentral's name for it is "bacterial SSU rRNA". It matches the Rfam family "Bacterial small subunit ribosomal RNA", at positions 355 to 696 of the family's 1533-position model. The record is from RNAcentral. Lineage: Bacteria; Bacillati; Bacillota; Clostridia; Thermosediminibacterales; Tepidanaerobacteraceae.
UGGGGGAUAUUGCGCAAUGGGGGAAACCCUGACGCAGCGACGCCGCGUGAGCGAAGAAGGCCUUCGGGUUGUAAAGCUCAGUCAUCGGGGACGAAGAGGACGGUACCCGAGGAGGAAGCCCCGGCUAACUACGUGCCAGCAGCCGCGGUAAUACGUAGGGGGCGAGCGUUGUCCGGAAUUACUGGGUGUAAAGGGCGUGUAGGCGGUGAUGCAAGUUAUCGGUAAAAACCCGGGGCUCAACUCCGGGCUUGCCGAUAAAACUGCAUCACUUGAGUGCAGGAGAGGGAAGUGGAAUUCCCGGAGUAGCGGUGAAAUGCGUAGAUA